UACGGAGGGGGCAAGCGUUGUUCGGAUUUACUGGGCGUAAAGCGUGUCUAGGUGGAUGUGUAAGUCAGGUGUGAAAGCCCCCGGCUCAACUGGGGAGGGUCACUUGAUACUGCAUGUCUUGAGUUUCGGAGGAGUGGGCGGAAUUCCCAGUGUAGAGGUGAAAUUCGUAGAUAUUGGGAGGAACACCAGAGGCGAAAGCGGCUCACUAGCCGAACACUGACACUCAAGCGCGAAAGCGUGGGUAGCAAACAGG
Molecule: ribosomal RNA, 253 nt
Filed under: uncultured bacterium
Lineage: Bacteria
Description: partial 16S ribosomal RNA
Rfam family: Bacterial small subunit ribosomal RNA
Source: RNAcentral